This 299-nucleotide ribosomal RNA is filed under the name Synalpheus brooksi. RNAcentral's name for it is "partial 16S ribosomal RNA". Lineage: Eukaryota; Metazoa; Arthropoda; Malacostraca; Decapoda; Alpheidae. The record is from RNAcentral.
CAAGGUAGCAUAAUCAAUAGUCUUUUAAUUGGAGGCUUGAAUGAAAGGUUUGACGGAGGAGAAGCUGUCUUUUUAUUAGAAUUGAAUUUAACUUUUGUGUAAGAAGGCAUUAAUGAUUUAGAGGGACGAUAAGACCCUAUAAAACUUUAUAUAUUAUAUUUAUUUAAUAAAAUAGUUAAUUAAUUAUUGGUGGUUAAUUAUAUUUUGCUGGGGUGGCAGGAAUAUAAUUCUAACUGUUUUAAAUGUAAAAUAUUUAUUAAUAGAGAGUGGUCCUUUGGUUGAGAGUUGAGAGUAAGUUA